Molecule: long non-coding RNA, 386 nt
Organism: Carassius auratus (goldfish)
Lineage: Eukaryota; Metazoa; Chordata; Actinopteri; Cypriniformes; Cyprinidae
Exons: 2
Source: RefSeq, a predicted model, not a curated record
UGCAGCUGACAGGACAGCAUCGACCUACCGCUAAACCUACAACAACAACAAACAAUAACACUCUGACCAGGUUUAUUAAAAUGAUCUGAAUCAGGUAAGCGAAGUAAAUAUUAUCCACAUUAUCGGACUGCCAUCUAUUGAGCCGAGAGUAUAUUUAAUUUGGCUGAGAGAUCCAGUGAGAAUGAACUUGUCAACGAGGUCACAAAGCUCCUGGACGACUUUCAGGAGGACAAACAAUGCAUUGACAGUUUUACAGAGGAUCUUGCCAAGGAUAUUAAGAAUCUCUCCUCUGCUGUCCAGAAGUUUAUUUUUGAUACUUUGUAUGGAUGGUACAUGCACAAAAAGCUUUUGGAUGUUGUGGUCAACAUCUUUUACAAUGACCAUGG